Molecule: ribosomal RNA, 406 nt
Filed under: uncultured bacterium
Lineage: Bacteria
Description: partial 16S ribosomal RNA
Rfam family: Bacterial small subunit ribosomal RNA
Source: RNAcentral
AUUGAACGCUGGCGGCAGGCUUAACACAUGCAAGUCGAGCGAGCGGCGGACGGGUGAGUAAUGUCUGGGAAACUGCCUGCUGGAGGGGGAUAACUACUGGAAACGGUAGCUAAUACCGCAUACCAUAAGAUGUUCCCAGAUGGGAUUAGCUAGUAGGUGGGGUAAUGGCUCAACUAGGCGACGAUCCCUAGCUGGUCUGAUAGGAUGACCAGCCACAAUGGAACUAAGAAACGGUCCAGACUCAUACGGUAGGCAGCAGUAGGGAAUAUUGCACAAUGGGCGCGAGCCUGAUGCAGCCAUGCCGCGUGUGUGAAGAAGGCCUUCGGUUUGUAAAGCACUUUCAGCGAGGAGGCGUUACUCGCAGAAGAAGCACCGGCUAACUCCGUGCCAGCGGCCGCGGUAAUAC